UACGGUGAGCCUGUCAUUGUUC
Molecule: microRNA, 22 nt
Filed under: Bos taurus (domestic cattle)
Lineage: Eukaryota; Metazoa; Chordata; Mammalia; Artiodactyla; Bovidae
Description: Bta-Mir-433_5p* (star (passenger))
Source: RNAcentral